RNAcentral lists this ribosomal RNA (420 nucleotides) under uncultured bacterium. RNAcentral's name for it is "bacterial SSU rRNA". It matches the Rfam family "Bacterial small subunit ribosomal RNA", at positions 358 to 770 of the family's 1533-position model. The record is from RNAcentral.
GGAAUAUUGGACAAUGGGCGAAAGCCUGAUCCAGCCAUGCCGCGUGUGUGAAGAAGGCUUUCGGGUUGUAAAGCACUUUCAGUGAGGAAGAAGGCCUUGGGGCUAAUACCCCCGAGGAAGGACAUCACUCACAGAAGAAGCACCGCCUAACUCCGUGCCAGCCGCCGCGGUAAUACAGAGGGUGCGAGCGUUAAUCGGAAUUACUGGGCGUAAAGCGCACGUAGGCGGCUCUGCAAGUCGGGUGUGAAAUCCCCGGGCUCAACCUGGGAACUGCAUUCGAUACUGCAUUGCUAGAGUAUGGGAGAGGGAAGUGGAAUUUCCGGUGUAGCGGUGAAAUGCGUAGAUAUCGGAAGGAACACCAGUGGCGAAAGCGACUUCCUGGACCAAUACUGACGCUCAGGUGCGAAAGCGUGGGGAGCA